This 164-nucleotide unclassified non-coding RNA is filed under the name Pseudomonas synxantha. Lineage: Bacteria; Pseudomonadati; Pseudomonadota; Gammaproteobacteria; Pseudomonadales; Pseudomonadaceae. The record is from RNAcentral.
AAGUAACAAAAAUUGACGCGUGACUUCGCUCAUCCCUUUCGUCGCAGACUGACCACAUUCUUAUGACCACCCUUGCUUACCGCAGAGACAUCGAUGGCCUGCGUGCCAUCGCUGUCCUUGCAGUCGUGUUGUUCCACUUUGGUGUCCCUGGCAUUACUGGCGGU